This 424-nucleotide ribosomal RNA is filed under the name uncultured Nitrosospira sp. RNAcentral describes it as "bacterial SSU rRNA". It matches the Rfam family "Bacterial small subunit ribosomal RNA", at positions 207 to 622 of the family's 1533-position model. The record is from RNAcentral. Lineage: Bacteria; Pseudomonadati; Pseudomonadota; Betaproteobacteria; Nitrosomonadales; Nitrosomonadaceae.
CAAGACCUUGCGCUUUUGGAGCGGCCGAUGUCUGAUUAGCUAGUUGGUGAGGUAAAGGCUUACCAAGGCGUCGAUCAGUAGCUGGUCUGAGAGGACGACCAGCCACACUGGGACUGAGACACGGCCCAGACUCCUACGGGAGGCAGCAGUGGGGAAUUUUGGACAAUGGGGGAAACCCUGAUCCAGCCAUGCCGCGUGAGUGAAGAAGGCCUUCGGGUUGUAAAGCUCUUUCAGCCGGAACGAAACGGUCACGGUUAAUACCUGUGACUACUGACGGUACCGGAAGAAGAAGCACCGGCUAACUACGUGCCAGCAGCCGCGGUAAUACGUAGGGUGCAAGCGUUAAUCGGAAUUACUGGGCGUAAAGCGUGCGCAGGCGGUUUUGUAAGUCAGAUGUGAAAUCCCCGGGCUUAACCUGGGAACU